Molecule: unclassified non-coding RNA, 379 nt
Filed under: Hevea brasiliensis (rubber tree)
Lineage: Eukaryota; Viridiplantae; Streptophyta; Magnoliopsida; Malpighiales; Euphorbiaceae
Source: RNAcentral
AUGCAUGUCCAACCCUAUGAUUUAGGCGUAAGUCCAAUUAAGCUUCUUAAGAAGAAGAUGCACUAAAGGACUUGGAUGACACUAGCCAAUAGCUCUCAAGGAGAGGCCUAUAACAUUGGUGCAAGAUCUGCCAUAUCUUCUGACCAUGGGUCCUCUAAGGAAGAGAAAUAAAAUAUGAUGCAAAUGAAUCCCCUGUACCAGAGUCUGCCAAGUCCUUAGCCAUUGUGCCUUACAAGAGACUAAUGAGGAAGCACCAAAAAUGAAGAAGCACCAAAAAUGAAGAAUCACCAAGAAUUGAAAAGCACCUAAGGUUAAUUCACGGCCUCUACUAGGCUGACCUACGGCCUCAAAUAGCCAACCUAACAGCUUUUUCCUAAGG